AGUGAACGCUGGCGGUAGGCCUAACACAUGCAAGUCGAACGGCAGCACAGUAAGAGCUUGCUCUUACGGGUGGCGAGUGGCGGACGGGUGAGGAAUACAUCGGAAUCUACUUUUUCGUGGGGGAUAACGUAGGGAAACUUACGCUAAUACCGCAUACGACCUACGGGUGAAAGCAGGGGAUCUUCGGACCUUGCGCGAUUGAAUGAGCCGAUGUCGGAUUAGCUAGUUGGCGGGGUAAAGGCCCACCAAGGCGACGAUCCGUAGCUGGUCUGAGAGGAUGAUCAGCCACACUGCAACUGAGACACGGUCCAGACUCCUACGGGAGGCAGCAGUGGGGAAUAUUGGACAAUGGGCGCAAGCCUGAUCCAGCCAUGCCGCGUGGGUGAAGAAGGCCUUCGGGUUGUAAAGCCCUUUUGUUGGGAAAGAAAAGCAGCAGGUUAAUACCCCGCUGUUCUGACGGUACCCAAAGAAUAAGCACCGGCUAACUUCGUG
RNAcentral lists this ribosomal RNA (492 nucleotides) under uncultured bacterium. Its description in RNAcentral is "partial 16S ribosomal RNA". It matches the Rfam family "Bacterial small subunit ribosomal RNA", at positions 29 to 507 of the family's 1533-position model. The record is from RNAcentral.